This 72-nucleotide transfer RNA is filed under the name Chelonia mydas (Green sea turtle). It matches the Rfam family "tRNA". Rfam says of the family: Transfer RNA (tRNA) molecules are approximately 80 nucleotides in length. Lineage: Eukaryota; Metazoa; Chordata; Testudines; Cheloniidae. The record is from Rfam by way of RNAcentral.
GGCAGGACAUCUCAGGGGUUAGAGAGCUAGCCUGCUACUUAAGAGUCCUGGGUUCCAUUCCCUGCUCUGCCA